GAGAGAGAAAGAGGUGGAGAGAGAGAGAGAGAGAGAGAGAGAUCCUGUUAUGUGGCUACACUGUUUUGACGUAAAGGUACUGUAGAGAUAGUGAUGAUGAUGACACUGUGUUGCUGUACAGCUUGUUCUCCUGAUGUGACUCCCAGCCAGACUUCAGUAUCAGACACAAUGUCCCAGACUGUAUCAGACGUAUGUUGACUGAGAGAGAAAACAGUCUUUGACCUGCUGGACUUUUAGUAAAUACUGAGUGCGCUCAGGCCUCACCUCCAGCCUCACCUCCAGCCUCACCUCUUGCCUGCUCACCAAUGUUCAUCGAUGGGGAGAACAGAAUUAGAAACAUGUCUGGAGCCAUCACAUGAAGACUUCCAAGAUGAUGUGAUGAAGUCCAGACUGACUCGAUACUGACGUCUCUGAACGGAGAAAGGCCUGGUACUUGGCAUUAAGAUUUUACUAGACACAACUUUUACUUGUAUGUUUUUUUGUAUUUAUUAUUAAAUGUAAUGGUAUCAGUCAAUGUGUAGAGAGAGAAACCCUGUGUAUUCUGCACCAGGAUCAGGAACUCCUGCUGUACACGGUACACCACCCAGGAAGGUAUGACCACUGACAUGUUACCAUGGUAGCCCCAUUACCACCACCCAGGAAGGUAUGACCACUGACAUGUUACCAUGGUAACCUCAUUACCACCACCCAGGAAGGUAUGACCACUCUGACAUGUUACCAUGGUAACCCCAUUACCACCACCCAGGAAGGUAUGACCACUCUGACAUGUUACCAUGGUAACCCCAUUACCAACACCCAGGAAGGUAUGACCACUCUGACAUGUUACCAUGGUAACCCCAUUACCACCACCCAGGAAGGUAUGACCACUCUGACAUGUUAC
RNAcentral lists this long non-coding RNA (880 nucleotides) under Salmo salar (Atlantic salmon). Its description in RNAcentral is "lncRNA (ENSSSAG00000090840.1)". The record is from RNAcentral. Lineage: Eukaryota; Metazoa; Chordata; Actinopteri; Salmoniformes; Salmonidae.